CAUAGCGACUAUCGUGGCAUAUCAAUAAGCGGAGGAAAAGAAGCUAACAAGGAUUCCCUUAGUAACGGCGAGUGAAGCGGGAAGAGCUCAAAUUUGAAAUCUUCAAGGUUUUACCUUGACGAAUUGUAGUUUAAAGAAGUGUUUUCUGUUGGAGUUUUGGUAAAAGUUCUUUGGAAUAGGACAUCAUAGAGGGUGAGAAUCCCGUAUUUGACCAUUAUUUUCAGCUGUGUGAUACACUUUCAAAGAGUCGGAUUGUUUGGGAAUGCAGUCCAAAAUGGGUGGUAAAUUUCAUCUAAAGCUAAAUAUUGGCGAGAGACCGAUAGCGAACAAGUACCGUGAGGGAAAGAUGAAAAGAACUUUGAAAAGAGAGUUAAACAGUACGUGAAAUUGUCAAAAGGGAAGCGUUUGACACCAGUGUUGUUUUCUCGAAAAUCAAUUAAAAAAGGCCGGAUUUUGUGUUGUAUUGACCUUAAAAGCUUUCUUCACUCUUUUCUUGUCUUUUUUAAUGCACUUUUCGUUUAACAAGUCAACAUCAGUUUCUUUUGUUGUAAAAGGGUCAUUGGAAGGUGGCUUUCUUUUCGGAGAAAGUGUUUAUAGCCUUUGAUCUCUGCAACCGGAGAGACUGAGGUCUGCAGCGUAGACUCUUCGGGGUUAGAUACAUUUGUGCUAAGCUAUAGCUUUUUAUAGACAACUUGUUGACUAUAUUUAGUCUUGUGGCUUACUCGCUUAUGCUAUUUUACCUACGCUUAGGAUGUUGAUAGUCACAGCGUGUAC
Molecule: ribosomal RNA, 774 nt
Filed under: uncultured Neocallimastigales
Lineage: Eukaryota; Fungi; Neocallimastigomycota; Neocallimastigomycetes; Neocallimastigales
Description: partial large subunit ribosomal RNA
Rfam family: Eukaryotic large subunit ribosomal RNA
Source: RNAcentral